Chlorocebus sabaeus (green monkey) is the source of this 107-nucleotide ribosomal RNA. The record is from Ensembl. Lineage: Eukaryota; Metazoa; Chordata; Mammalia; Primates; Cercopithecidae.
GUCUAUGGCCGUACCACCUUGAAUGUGUCUGAUCUCAUUAGCUAAGCAGGGUCGGGCCUGGUGUGUACUUUGAUGGAAUAAAAUAAAAUCAUGAUUGACUAUAGUUU